This 582-nucleotide ribosomal RNA is filed under the name Collybia odora. RNAcentral describes it as "eukaryotic LSU rRNA". The stretch from base 205 to 358 matches the Rfam family "5.8S ribosomal RNA". Lineage: Eukaryota; Fungi; Basidiomycota; Agaricomycetes; Agaricales; Clitocybaceae. The record is from RNAcentral.
GCUUUUCGGAGCAUGUGCACGCCUAGCGCCAUUUUUACCACCUGUGCACUUCUUGUAGAUUUGAAACACCUCUCGAGGAAACUCGGUUUGAGGACUGCUGUGCGCAAGCUAAGCUUUCCUUGCGUUUCAGGUCUAUGUUUUUAUAUACCCCAUAAGAAUGUUUUAGAAUGUCAUUAAUGGGCUUCAUUGCCUCUAAAUUAAUACAACUUUCAACAACGGAUCUCUUGGCUCUCGCAUCGAUGAAGAACGCAGCGAAAUGCGAUAAGUAAUGUGAAUUGCAGAAUUCAGUGAAUCAUCGAAUCUUUGAACGCACCUUGCGCUCCUUGGUAUUCCGAGGAGCAUGCCUGUUUGAGUGUCAUUAAAUUCUCAACCCUUUCAGCUUUUGCGAGCUGGAUUGGCUUGGAUGUGGGGGUUUGCGGGCUUCUCAGAAGUCGGCUCCUCUUAAAUACAUUAGCGGAACCUUUGUGGACCAGCUUUGGUGUGAUAAUUAUCUACGCCAUGGUUGUGAAACAGCUUUAUAUGGGGUUCAGCUUCUAACCGUCCAUUGACUUGGACAAUUUCUGACAUUUUGACCUCAAAUCA